This 323-nucleotide unclassified non-coding RNA is filed under the name soil metagenome. RNAcentral's name for it is "partial contains 5.8S ribosomal RNA, internal transcribed spacer 2, and large subunit ribosomal RNA". The stretch from base 1 to 120 matches the Rfam family "5.8S ribosomal RNA", at positions 35 to 154 of the family's 154-position model. The record is from RNAcentral.
GAUGAAGAACGCAGUGAAAUGCGAUAAGUAGUGUGAAUUGCAGAAUUCAGUGAAUCAUCGAAUCUUUGAACGCACAUUGCGCCCCUUGGUAUUCCAUGGGGCAUGCCUGUUCGAGCGUCAUUUGUACCUUCAAGCUUUGCUUGGUGUUGGGUGUUUGUCCCUCGGGACUCGCCUUAAAGUCAUUGGCAGCCAGUGUUUUGGUUUUGAAGCGCAGCACAAGUCGCGAUUCAAGGCUAUCCGCCCGCUUCCACAAGCCUUUUUCACUUUUGACCUCGGAUCAGGUAGGGAUACCCGCUGAACUUAAGCAUAUCAAUAAGCGAGGA